RNAcentral lists this transfer RNA (74 nucleotides) under Planctomycetota bacterium. Its description in RNAcentral is "tRNA-His". It matches the Rfam family "tRNA". From Rfam's summary of the family: Transfer RNA (tRNA) molecules are approximately 80 nucleotides in length. Their secondary structure includes four short double-helical elements and three loops (D, anti-codon, and T loops). Further hydrogen bonds mediate the characteristic L-shaped molecular structure. tRNAs have two regions of fundamental functional importance: the anti-codon, which is responsible for specific mRNA codon recognition, and the 3' end, to which the tRNAs corresponding amino acid is attached (by aminoacyl-tRNA synthetases). tRNAs cope with the degeneracy of the genetic code in two manners: having more than one tRNA (with a specific anti-codon) for a particular amino acid; and 'wobble' base-pairing, i.e. permitting non-standard base-pairing at the 3rd anti-codon position. RNAcentral also lists the same sequence under 1 other name. Lineage: Bacteria; Pseudomonadati; Planctomycetota. The record is from RNAcentral.
GUGAAAGUAGCUCAGUCGGUUAGAGCACCAGAUUGUGGAUCUGGGGGUCGCGGGUUCGAAUCCCGUCUUUCACC